RNAcentral lists this ribosomal RNA (490 nucleotides) under uncultured bacterium. RNAcentral describes it as "partial 16S ribosomal RNA". It matches the Rfam family "Bacterial small subunit ribosomal RNA", at positions 30 to 507 of the family's 1533-position model. The record is from RNAcentral.
AUUGAACGCUGGCGGCAGGCCUAACACAUGCAAGUCGAACGGUAACAGGAAACAGCUUGCUGUUUCGCUGACGAGUGGCGGACGGGUGAGUAAUGUCUGGGAAACUGCCUGAUGGAGGGGGAUAACUACUGGAAACGGUAGCUAAUACCGCAUAACGUCGCAAGCCCAAAGAGGGGGACCUUCGGGCCUCUUGCCAUCGGAUGUGCCCAGAUGGGAUUAGCUAGUAGGUGGGGUAACGGCUCACCUAGGCGACGAUCCCUAGCUGGUCUGAGAGGAUGACCAGCCACACUGGAACUGAGACACGGUCCAGACUCCUACGGGAGGCAGCAGUGGGGAAUAUUGCACAAUGGGCGCAAGCCUGAUGCAGCCAUGCCGCGUGUAUGAAGAAGGCCUUCGGGUUGUAAAGUACUUUCAGCGGGGAUGAAGGGAGUAAAGUUAAUACCUAUGCUCAUUGACGUUACCCGCAGAAGAAGCACCGGCUAACUCCGUG